UGGGGAGUUCGCCCGCAAGGCGUUAACUCAAAGAAUUUACGGGGCCCGCACAAUCGGUGGAGCAUGUGGUUUAAUUCGAUGAUACGCGAAGAGCCUUACCAGGGCUUGAACUGUUUCUGACAGGUGUAGAGAUACACCCUCCUUCGGGCAGAUUCAGAGGUGCUGCAUGGUUGUCGUCAGCUCGUGUCGUGAGAUGUUGGGUUAAGUCCCGCAACGAGCGCAACCCUUACUCCUUGUUGCUAUCAGGUUAUGCUGGGCACUCUAGGGGAACUGCCGGUGAUAAACCGGAGGAAGGUGGGGAUGACGUCAAAUCAGCACGGCCCUUAUGUCCUGGGCUACACACGUGCUACAAUGGCCGGUACAAUGAGCAGCGAUGCCGCGAGGUGGAGCGAAUCUCAAAAAACCGGUCUCAGUUCGGAUUGUAGUCUGCAACUCGACUACAUGAAGCUGGAAUCGCUAGUAAUCGGAGAUCAGCACGCUCCGGCGAAUACGUUCCCGGGCAUUGUACACACCGCCCGUCACACCAUCCGAGUUGCAGCACCCGAAUGGCUGAGCUAUCCUUUUGGAAGGCAG
Molecule: ribosomal RNA, 573 nt
Filed under: uncultured organism
Description: bacterial SSU rRNA
Rfam family: Bacterial small subunit ribosomal RNA
Source: RNAcentral